Long non-coding RNA from Saccostrea echinata, 515 nucleotides. RefSeq lists it as uncharacterized. The record is from RefSeq and is a predicted model, not a curated record. The transcript has 3 exons. NCBI's taxonomy places the organism in Eukaryota, Metazoa, Mollusca, Bivalvia, Ostreida, Ostreidae.
GUAUUUCCAUUUUUCUUUAUUCUUCGACCAUCCAAGGUCAGGAGAUAGUUGCUGUCAAACCAUUUCCGAAUUGUACGAAAGAUUCCGAGUGUGACGAAUUUGUAAACACGGAAUGCAAACCAAAUCCAGACGACCCUUCCAAAUCCAUCUGUACAUGCAAGGAAGGUUUUCUGUUCUGGCCAUUACCAUUCAGAAUAAAUGGUUGUCUAGCUGAGUGUGACUUUGUGAAUAAAGAAAAUUCUGGCUGUAAGCAUGGGACUUGUGGUUUUGACGGGAAUCCAUUUCCGACAUGUGUAUGCCAUAAGGGAUAUUGCGGGAGGCAUUGUGAAGAUAAACACAAAAGGAGGGGAGGCUGAGUUGUGUUUGUCUCUGCUGGAGUGGGUAUACUUACUUAAGUUUACUGGAAGGCAUAAAAUGACUAACAGUGACUUCCUGUUAAAAUAAAAAGUAUAUUCCUGAAAAAGUCCAUGAUGAUGCAAUGUUCAUAUGUUGAAAAUAAAAGUUUAUGAAUUGAA